AAGACACAUACGUGACUCAAAUAAGAUGGCCUUUGGACAGCAACCCUUUCCUGAGUCUCCAGCCUAUCAGCCUCUCUCAUCAGAUUUUGGACUCGCCAAGCCUCCACAAUGACUAGCCAGGGAGUGGCUACUUCAGAAUCAAAGAGAAGAGGAGAAGUCUAUUUACCAUGCAGAUUCGUGGGCCCCAUCCCAGACUUACUGAAUCAGCAGAACUGAGGAUGUUUCUGAAGAGGGUCCACUUUCAGGAGCUCUCUAGGGAUCCAAGAUGAGUCACCAUUGUUUCAUAGUCAAUGAACAAGACCUGGCCUUCCUUCUAAUCCAUUGCCAAAAACAGCAUUUCCUGCUGUAUAUUGUUGUGUUUGAGGUAGAAGGAAGUUACCACCUAGAGGCAAACCUCUCAAAAGCAGCAAGUCACCCUGACAGCAGCAGACUUAAGGAAGGGCUCAAAGAUCUCUGUGAGGCGGCCAUCAAUACCCAAAGCAAGAUGGAGAAGACAUUGUUCUCCCAACAGCUGGCCUGGAAUUCCUCUUAGGGACAGUUUUCUUUGGAGGGGUUGACUCUCUGUGGUAUGACUGUCAGCUGCCCCCUAGUUUCCAUGAAGGAGAACUGAAGAGGAGAAUAAAAACUUGCAGCUCUCAGGAGAGCAACCUUAGAGAAAUGGGAGUGAGAAGGAAAGGUGGGAAGGGAAAAACAAAACUCAGAUAAUGUAGCUUGAACAUUUGUCUACUCCAACUCUCAUGUUAAAAUUUAACCUGCAAUAUUGGAGGUGGGGCCUAGUAGGAGGUGUCUGGGUCAUGGCAGCAGAUCCUUCAUGAAUGGCUUGGUGCCACACUGGAAGUAAUGAGUGAGUUACUGCACUAUUAGUUCCCACAAGAGCUGAUUUUUUUUUUUAAAGCUGGGCCCCCUCUCUGCCCAUGUGAUCAGCACACACUGGCUCCCCUUCACCUUCUGCCAUGAGUGGAAGCAGCCUGAAACCCUCAGCAGAUGCAGAUGCCAAUGCCAUGCUUCUUAUGCAGCCUGCAGAAUAGGCCAAAUAAAGUUCCUUUAUUUAUCAAUUAGCCUCAUGUCUUCCUUUAUAGCAACACAAAUCGACUGACAUAGGAUCAAAAUAAAAAUAAUAAUUUCAUUCUUAUAGUAAACCUCUGACACAGGUACUAUUAUUAUUCCUACUUUAUAAUUUAGGAAACUGAGGCACAGAAAGGUUAAGUAGGGAAAUGUGUGUGUGCCAUAACCCUUCUCUAUGAUUUUCUUUUUUUCAGUCUUGUGCUGUCAUCCAGGCUGGAGUGCAAUGGCACAAUGUUGGCUCACUGCAACCUCCACCUCUCAGGUUCAAGUUAUUCUCCUGCCCUCAGCCUCCCAAGAAGCUAGGAUUACAGGUGCCCGCCACCACACCCAGCUAAUGUUUUUGUAUUUUUAGGGGAGAUGGGGUGUCAGCCAGGCUGGUCUCGAACUCCUGACCUCAAGUGAUCCACCUACCUCAGCCUCCAAAACUGCCAGGAUUACAGGCGUGAGCCACUGAGCCCAGCUCUUCCCUGUGAUUUUCUAUAUCGUCCCAAAACUUUACCAAAAUGUAUUAGAAUUAUGGGUGAGUUUGAUACUGUGGAUAUUUUUCUUCACAGCGUCCGUCCUGAGCUCCCUGUGUGGGUUGAUUUAGGGCAGAAAGAGGGCUGGAGCAUAUGUAGGCACAUGUCUGUCUGGGACAUGGGAGAUUUGAAAUGACAGCAUGCAUUAAACAGCAAGAAUAACCACCACCACGGACAGCUCAGAGGGAGGGUUACAUGUAUGAACUGUAAUUGGUUCAAUUGCUGGGAAACAGAAAGAAAUUUCUUAAAUUUUUCAGAAAUCCAAACUAAAGUAUCCCUAGAGUCACUGGAAGAAAUUUCAAUGGAUAGGAGAGCUCCAAAAGCUGUAAAGAAUCUACCCAGAUUCUCUUUCACCUUCCACUGGGGUUCACUAAAGCGAUCUGCUUGAGACCAGGCUGUCAUGGAGGGAUAGAUUCUUUUGUUCUUCCCCUUUUCACAGUUGUUGUUAUCACACUUUACCAAAAAAAGCUUAUCUCCCAUCCCUUUCAAGAAUUCAGAUGGUGCAUUGUUCAGGGUAUAAAAGUCUCCCAGGACAAAAGACACUAUUCAAAAUACAGUAACCAUCUCUAGCACAAUGAAAAUUGACGUAUAAGGUCAUUAGCCAUUGACGCUCCACCUCUGCAGCAGACUUACCCCUACUUUUCACUGAUGUCACAACAGGCCUGCAUUUUAGGACACUGAAAUUUUUAGAUUUCAUAAAAGGCUUGUAAUAAAUUAAGUUGCUGUUGCAAAAGGGGAUUAUUCCUAAUACUUGUGUGGCAUCAGGGCUGGCAAACGACAGCCUGCAGGCAACCCCUCCCACAAAACAAAGGAGAAAAAAAAAAACAAAAAACUGUUUUUUAAAAAAU
This 2431-nucleotide long non-coding RNA is filed under the name Homo sapiens (human). RNAcentral's name for it is "HSALNT0027804". Lineage: Eukaryota; Metazoa; Chordata; Mammalia; Primates; Hominidae. The record is from RNAcentral.